AGGUUUAGGGUUAGGGUUAGGGUUAGGAUUAGGGUUAGGGUUAGGUUUAAGGAUUAGGGUUAGGGUUAAGGUUUAGGGUUAGGGUUAGGGUCAGGGUCAGGGUUAGGUUUAAGGAUUAGGGUUAGGGUUAGGGUUAGGGUUAGGGUUAGGGUUAGGAUUAGGGUCAGGGUUAGGUUUAAGGAUUAGGGUUAGGGUUAGGGUUAGGGUUAGGGUUAGGAUUAGGGUCAGGGUUAGGUUUAAGGGUUAAGGUUUAGGGUUAGGAUUAGGAUUAGGGUUAGGGUUAGGGUUAGGGUUAAGGUUAGGGUUAGGGUUAGGGUUAAGGUUAGGGUUAGGGUUAAGGUUUAGG
Long non-coding RNA from Oncorhynchus tshawytscha (Chinook salmon), 346 nucleotides. The record is from Ensembl. Lineage: Eukaryota; Metazoa; Chordata; Actinopteri; Salmoniformes; Salmonidae.